UUUUUAUAAAAUCAGGUAAUAAUAAAUAAUAAAACCAAUAUAUUAUGGCGGUUCUAAUAAUUUAGAGAAACUCGCUUUAUAAUCGAUAAUUCUCGAUAAAUUUCACUUUUUUUAUAAAUUUAUAUACCGCCGUUUAAGAUUUAACUUUCCUAUUAAAAUCAAAAUUUCUAUAUAUAUAUAAUAAAUCAGGUCAAGGUGUAAUUAAUUAAUAAGCAAAAGUAAGUUACAUUAAAACCAAUUUAAGGCCCUAAAAUUAAAAUUAAUUCAAAAAAGAAUUUAAACGUAAAUUUUAAUUAAAAAUUCAAAUAGAACUCACUAACUAGAACGC
RNAcentral lists this ribosomal RNA (328 nucleotides) under Buitinga griswoldi. RNAcentral describes it as "partial 12S ribosomal RNA". Lineage: Eukaryota; Metazoa; Arthropoda; Arachnida; Araneae; Pholcidae. The record is from RNAcentral.